This 496-nucleotide ribosomal RNA is filed under the name uncultured bacterium. Its description in RNAcentral is "partial 16S ribosomal RNA". It matches the Rfam family "Bacterial small subunit ribosomal RNA", at positions 28 to 506 of the family's 1533-position model. The record is from RNAcentral.
GAUGAACGCUGGCGGCGUGCCUAAUACAUGCAAGUCGAGCGAACAGACGAGGAGCUUGCUCCUCUGACGUUAGCGGCGGACGGGUGAGUAACACGUGGAUAACCUACCUAUAAGACUGGGAUAACUUCGGGAAACCGGAGCUAAUACCGGAUAAUAUAUUGAACCGCAUGGUUCAAUAGUGAAAGACGGUUUUGCUGUCACUUAUAGAUGGAUCCGCGCCGUAUUAGCUAGUUGGUAAGGUAACGGCUUACCAAGGCGACGAUGCGUAGCCGACCUGAGAGGGUGAUCGGCCACACUGGAACUGAGACACGGUCCAGACGCCUACGGGAGGCAGCAGUAGGGAAUCUUCCGCAAUGGGCGAAAGCCUGACGGAGCAACGCCGCGUGAGUGAUGAAGGUCUUCGGAUCGUAAAACUCUGUUAUUAGGGAAGAACAAAUGUGUAAGUAACUAUGCACGUCUUGACGGUACCUAAUCAGAAAGCCACGGCUAACUACGU